CCCGAAUCCGACCAUAACCGCCCGAUGCCCAGCCCUAACGAGGAGUGGACGGAGUUCGAAUCCCGAAUUCCACAUUUUUUCGUAUUUAAAUAUGUGAGAGUCUAGCCACUAGGUUACUUAACCAAAAAAAAAAAAAAGUUGUCAUGUUCAAUUUCUUAUUUUUUAGCCGAUUAAACGCAAAAAAAAAAAAAAAAAAACUUUAACCGAAACUGUUAAAUAUUAAUUGCCCUGAGCUGGACAGAAGAGAAGGCGAUGAAAUUUUCGUUGAUGGUGGAUUUGAGAGGUUUGUGAUUAUUGGGAGGAGAGUGAUAAUCGUUAUCAAUCAAUGUAUGCAAAACAUCCUUACGGUUGGUUCUCUUGGCAAAAAGGGAAUGGUGAAAAUUUAUCAGCAGCUAACAAAGCUUGGUCAAGGUGGUUUUGGUUCAGUUUAUAAGCACACAGCGACAUGACUAACUUAUAUACAUUUGAAGACACCAUUUCUCUUUUGCCGCGUCACUAUUAUGUCUUGUCGUUGAAUGGAC
This is a long non-coding RNA of Trifolium pratense (red clover), 521 nucleotides long. RefSeq lists it as uncharacterized. The record is from RefSeq and is a predicted model, not a curated record. The transcript has 3 exons. Lineage: Eukaryota; Viridiplantae; Streptophyta; Magnoliopsida; Fabales; Fabaceae.